GAUGAAGAACGUAGCGAACUGCGAUAAGUAAUGUGAAUUGCAGAAUUCAGUGAAUCAUCGAGUCUUUGAACGCACAUUGCGCCCCCUGGCAUUCCGGGGGGCAUGCCUGUCCGAGCGUCAUUGCUGCCCUUCAAGCCCGGCUUGUGUGUUGGGUCGUCGUCCCCCCCGGGGGACGGGCCCGAAAGGCAGCGGCGGCACCGCGUCCGGUCCUCGAGCGUAUGGGGCUUUGUCACCCGCUCGAUUAGGGCCGGCCGGGCGCCAGCCGGCGUCUCCAACCUUCUAUUUUACCAGGUUGACCUCGGAUCAGGUAGGGAUACUCGCUGAACUUAAGCAUAUCAAUAAGCGGAGGA
This 350-nucleotide unclassified non-coding RNA is filed under the name soil metagenome. RNAcentral's name for it is "partial contains 5.8S ribosomal RNA, internal transcribed spacer 2, and large subunit ribosomal RNA". The stretch from base 1 to 120 matches the Rfam family "5.8S ribosomal RNA", at positions 35 to 154 of the family's 154-position model. The record is from RNAcentral.